Molecule: ribosomal RNA, 464 nt
Filed under: Vreelandella stevensii
Lineage: Bacteria; Pseudomonadati; Pseudomonadota; Gammaproteobacteria; Oceanospirillales; Halomonadaceae
Description: partial 16S ribosomal RNA
Rfam family: Bacterial small subunit ribosomal RNA
Source: RNAcentral
CCUACGGUGGCUGCAGUGGGGAAUAUUGGACAAUGGGCGAAAGCCUGAUCCAGCCAUGCCGCGUGUGUGAAGAAGGCCUUCGGGUUGUAAAGCACUUUCAGUGGGGAAGAAAGCCUUGGGGCUAAUACCCUCGAGGAAGGACAUCACCCACAGAAGAAGCACCGGCUAACUCCGUGCCAGCAGCCGCGGUAAUACGGAGGGUACGAGCGUUAAUCGGAAUUACUGGGCGUAAAGCGCGCGUAGGCGGUCUGAUAAGCCGGUUGUGAAAGCCCCGGGCUCAACCUGGGAACGGCAUCCGGAACUGUCAGGCUAGAGUGCAGGAGAGGAAGGUAGAAUUCCCGGUGUAGCGGUGAAAUGCGUAGAGAUCGGGAGGAAUACCAGUGGCGAAGGCGGCCUUCUGGACUGACACUGACGCUGAGGUGCGAAAGCGUGGGUAGCAAACAGGAUUAGAUACCCUGGUAGUC